This is a small nuclear RNA of Peromyscus eremicus (cactus mouse), 112 nucleotides long. Lineage: Eukaryota; Metazoa; Chordata; Mammalia; Rodentia; Cricetidae. The record is from RefSeq and is a predicted model, not a curated record.
AUACUAAAUAAAUAAAUACUAAAAGAUUGAAACAAUAUAGAGAAGAUUAGCAUGGGCCCUGUGAGCCCUGUGAAAGGCUGAUUUGCAAACUCUGGAAACAUUCCACAUUUAU